CCUACGGGAGGCAGCAGUGGGGGAUAUUGCACAAUGGGGGAAACCCUGAUGCAGCGACGCCGCGUGUAGGAAGACGGUCCUCUGGAUUGUAAACUACUGUCCUCAGGGACGAAGAUGACGGUACCUGGGGAGGAAGCUCCGGCUAACUACGUGCCAGCAGCCGCGGUAAUACGUAGGGAGCGAGCGUUGUCCGGAAUUACUGGGUGUAAAGGGAGCGUAGGCGGGGAUGCAAGUUGGGGGUUAAAUCUACGGGCUCAACUGGUAGUCGCACUCAAAACUGCAGCUCUUGAGUGAAGUAGAGGCAGGCGGAAUGCCCGGUGUAGCGGGGAAAUGCGUAGAUAUCACGCAGAACCCCAGUGGCGAAGGCGGCCUGCCGUGCCUUCACUGACGCUGAGGCUCGAAAGUGCGGGGAGCGAACAGGAUUAGAUACCCUAGUAGUC
RNAcentral lists this ribosomal RNA (440 nucleotides) under uncultured bacterium. Its description in RNAcentral is "partial 16S ribosomal RNA". It matches the Rfam family "Bacterial small subunit ribosomal RNA", at positions 338 to 795 of the family's 1533-position model. The record is from RNAcentral.